RNAcentral lists this ribosomal RNA (324 nucleotides) under uncultured eukaryote. Its description in RNAcentral is "partial 18S ribosomal RNA". It matches the Rfam family "Eukaryotic small subunit ribosomal RNA", at positions 1470 to 1796 of the family's 1831-position model. The record is from RNAcentral.
CCCUUAGAUGUCCUGGGCUGCACGCGCGCUACACUGAUGUGUCCAGUAAGCACCUAACCUCUUCCGAAAGGAACGGGUAUCCUUUGCAAAGCACAUCGUGAUGGGGAUAGAUUAUUGCAAUUAUUAGUCUUGAACGAGGAAUUCCUAGUAAGCACAAGUCAUCAGCUUGUGUUGAUUACGUCCCUGCCCUUUGUACACACCGCCCGUCGCUCCUACCGAUUGAAUGUUCCGGUGAGCUCUUCGGACUGCGCGGUCUGCAGUUUCUGCGUUCCGUGCGGAAAGUUGCGCAAACCUUAACAUUUAGAGGAAGGAGAAGUCGUAACA